This 391-nucleotide ribosomal RNA is filed under the name uncultured bacterium. RNAcentral's name for it is "bacterial SSU rRNA". It matches the Rfam family "Bacterial small subunit ribosomal RNA", at positions 30 to 421 of the family's 1533-position model. The record is from RNAcentral.
AUUGAACGCUGGCGGCAUGCCUUACACAUGCAAGUCGAACGGCAGCACGGGAGCAAUCCUGGUGGCGAGUGGCGAACGGGUGAGUAAUAUAUCGGAACGUGCCCAGUCGUGGGGAUAACGUAGCGAAAGCUACGCUAAUACCGCAUACGAUCUAUGGAUGAAAGUGGGGGAUCGCAAGACCUCGCGCGAUUGGAGCGGCCGAUAUCAGAUUAGGUAGUUGGUGAGGUAAAGGCUCACCAAGCCGACGAUCUGUAGCUGGUCUGAGAGGACGACCAGCCACACUGGGACUGAGACACGGCCCAGACUCCUACGGGAGGCAGCAGUGGGGAAUUUUUGGACAAUGGGCGCAAGCCUGAUCCAGCAAUGCCGCGUGCAGGAUGAAGGCCUUCGG